This 314-nucleotide ribosomal RNA is filed under the name uncultured bacterium. Its description in RNAcentral is "bacterial SSU rRNA". It matches the Rfam family "Bacterial small subunit ribosomal RNA", at positions 32 to 324 of the family's 1533-position model. The record is from RNAcentral.
AAUCAACGCUGGCGGCGUGCCUCAGACAUGCAAGUCGAACGCGAAAGUCCCCCUCGGGGGACAAGUAGAGUGGCGCACGGGUGAGUAACACGUAGGUAAUCUACCUUCGGGUGGGGAAUAACAAUCGGAAACGGUUGCUAAUACCGCAUAAUGCAGCGGCACCUAAUGGUGACAGUUGUUAAAGCGGGGGAGUCGCAAGAUCUCGCGCCUGAAGAGGAGCCUGCGGCGGAUUAGCUAGUUGGUAGGGUAAUGGCCUACCAAGGCGACGAUCCGUAGCCGGCCUGAGAGGGCGGUCGGCCACACUGACACUGACA